Molecule: small nuclear RNA, 268 nt
Filed under: Microtus ochrogaster (prairie vole)
Lineage: Eukaryota; Metazoa; Chordata; Mammalia; Rodentia; Cricetidae
Description: 7SK RNA (ENSMOCG00000005639.1)
Rfam family: 7SK RNA
About the family: 7SK was discovered as an abundant small nuclear RNA in the mid-70s but a possible function has only recently been suggested. Two independent studies have found that 7SK RNA binds the CDK9/cyclin T complex (known as elongation factor P-TEFb).
Source: RNAcentral
GUGAGGACAAUCUGGCUGCAACGUGUGUCACCCCAGUGAUUUCCAGCGUUGAUCUGGCUGGCUAGGCGGUAGGCGGUGUCCCCUUCCUCCCUCAAGUGUGUCUCUCCCGCAGUUACACUCAGUUGAAGAGCCAGCCUUCCCUGAGUAGAGGAGGACAGGUCUUCUGACUGACAAGACUAUACAAGUAGCUGCGCUCCCCUGCUAGAGCCUCCAAACAGGCUCUGUUAUAACUUCCGGGAAGUCUAUGAGCGUCUCCCACUGUAGCUAU